RNAcentral lists this ribosomal RNA (1350 nucleotides) under metagenome. RNAcentral describes it as "bacterial SSU rRNA". It matches the Rfam family "Bacterial small subunit ribosomal RNA", at positions 192 to 1520 of the family's 1533-position model. The record is from RNAcentral.
CUUCAGGGGUUAAAGGUGGGGACCGUAAGGCCUAUCGCUUUUGGAUGAGUCCGCGCACUAUCAGCUAGUUGGUGAGGUAAUGGCUCACCAAGGCUAUGACGGUUAGCUGGUCUGAGAGGAUGAUCAGCCACACUGGAACUGAGACACGGUCCAGACUCCUACGGGAGGCAGCAGUGGGGAAUUUUGCACAAUGGGCGCAAGCCUGAUGCAGCAAUGCCGCGUGAGUGAUGAAGGCUUUCGGGUUGUAAAGCUCUGUCGGGUGGGACAAACGGCCCUUACAUUAAUACUGUGAGGGAAUGAUGGUACCACUAAAGGAAGAGGCGGCUAACUCUGUGCCAGCAGCCGCGGUAAUACAGAGGCCUCAAGCGUUGUUCGGAAUUACUGGGCGUAAAGGGAAUGUAGGUGGCGAUAAAAGUCAGGUGUGAAAGCCCGGGGCUCAACCCCGGAACUGCAUUUGAUACUGUAUCGCUAGAGUGCGAUAGAGGAGAGCGGAAUUCCAGGUGUAGGAGUGAAAUCCGUAGAUAUCUGGAGGAAUACCAAUGGCGAAGGCAGCUCUCUGGCUCGCAACUGACACUGAGAUUCGAAAGCGUGGGUAGCAAACAGGAUUAGAUACCCUGGUAGUCCACGCCGUAAACGAUGGAUGCUUGUUGUUGGGAGAGUUAACCCUCUCAGUGACGAAGCUAACGCGUUAAGCAUCCCGCCUGGGGAGUACGGUCGCAAGAUUAAAACUCAAAGAAAUUGACGGGGACCCGCACAAGCAGUGGAGCAUGUGGUUUAAUUCGACGCAACGCGAAGAACCUUAUCCUAGCCUUGACAUUCUAGGACCGUCGGUGAAAGCCGAUUUUCUUCGCAAGAAGACCUAGGGACAGGUGCUGCAUGGCUGUCGUCAGCUCGUGUCGUGAGAUGUUGGGUUAAGUCCCGUAACGAGCGCAACCCAUACCUCCUGUUGCCAUCAUUAAGUUGGGCACUCUGGAGGGACUGCCAGUGUUAAACUGGAGGAAGGUGUGGAUGACGUCAAGUCCUCAUGGCCCUUAUGGCUAGGGCUACACACGUGCUACAAUGCAGAGUACAAAGGGCUGCGAAACCGUGAGGUGGAGCCAAUCUCAAAAAACUCUGCUCAGUUCAGAUUGAAGUCUGCAACUCGACCUCAUGAAGCUGGAAUUGCUAGUAAUCGCAGAUCAGCAUGCUGUGGUGAAUACGUUCCCGGGUCUUGUACACACCGCCCGUCACACCACGAAAGUUGUUUGCACCAGAAGUCGCUGUGCUAACCGCAAGGAGGCAGGCGCCCAAGGUGUGGGCAAUGAUUGGGGUGAAGUCGUAACAAGGUAGCCGUAGGAGAACCUGCGGCUG